Long non-coding RNA from Hyla sarda, 575 nucleotides. RefSeq lists it as uncharacterized. NCBI's taxonomy places the organism in Eukaryota, Metazoa, Chordata, Amphibia, Anura, Hylidae. The transcript has 3 exons. The record is from RefSeq and is a predicted model, not a curated record.
UCAGAAAAUGGACAUCAGGCAUGUGAUAUGAGGUGGAUGAUAUGUCAAGAGAUAGAGAGUACAGGACAGAACUAAUUUUCUCGCGAGAAGUAUGUUGUAUUUAAUCAUGGUGGUGGGUGUGCACGUGAGAGGCUUGAGAAAGGGAGUUCAUUCUCCUGAAACGACGCCUUAUCUAUGGUCGGCGGAUUUCCUGAGUAGCUCGACUUUCAGCCCACAGGAGAUGCAAUUAAUCAUGGCCGGGAAUAGAAGACCUCAGAGAGGCUGAUGAAAUCCUAAAAGUGCCGGAUUGAUUUUUGCUACUUUAUCACUGGAAAGAACACAAACAGUUAACUACAUAUAACGGUUCCUCUAAUUCUGGUAAUUGAUAAGAAAUGAUAAGAAAGCUGCUGGAAAUAAUUACAUUUGACAGCUGUAGACUAUGUGUGGCUACAUAUGACGUCUUCCCGUAAGCCUCUUAUCAAGUGAAAAUCUGAAGAAUGCGAUUAUUAGUAGUCACAUCAAGGGCAGUGGAGGCAUCUCCAUAAGAACUCUACCUUGUUAAUUAUAGUUUCUAAUGUAAAUAUGCCUUUGACUAA